AACGAACGCUGGCGGCAUGCCUAACACAUGCAAGUCGAACGAGACCUUCGGGUCUAGUGGCGCACGGGUGCGUAACGCGGGGGAACCUGCCCUUAGGUUCGGAAGAACUCCCCGAAAGGGGUGCUAAUACCGGAUAAUGUCUUCGGACCAAAGAUUUAUCGCCUUUGGAUGGGCCCGCGUUGGAUUAGCUAGUUGGUAGGGUAAAAGCCUACCAAGGCGACGAUCCAUAGCUGGUCUGAGAGGAUGAUCAGCCACACUGGGACUGAGACACGGCCCAGACUCCUACGGGAGGCAGCAGUGGGGAAUAUUGGACAAUGGGCGAAAGCCUGAUCCAGCAAUGCCGCGUGAGUGAUGAAGGCCUUAGGGUUGUAAAGCUCUUUUACCCGGGAUGAUAAUGACAGUACCGGGAGAAUAAGCUCCGGCUAACUCCGUG
RNAcentral lists this ribosomal RNA (433 nucleotides) under uncultured bacterium. Its description in RNAcentral is "partial 16S ribosomal RNA". It matches the Rfam family "Bacterial small subunit ribosomal RNA", at positions 29 to 507 of the family's 1533-position model. The record is from RNAcentral.